GUGAACGCUGGCGGCAGGCCUAACACAUGCAAGUCGAGCGGCAGCGGGUCCUUCGGGAUGCCGGCGAGCGGCGGACGGGUGAGGAAUGCAUCGGAAUCUGCCUCUAUGUGGGGGAUAACGUAGGGAAACUUACGCUAAUACCGCAUACGACCUACGGGUGAAAGCCGGGGACCUUCGGGCCUGGCGCAGAGAGAUGAGCCGAUGCCGGAUUAGCUAGUUGGCGGGGUAAAGGCCCACCAAGGCGACGAUCCGUAGCUGGUCUGAGAGGAUGAUCAGCCACACUGGAACUGAGACACGGUCCAGACUCCUACGGGAGGCAGCAGUGGGGAAUAUUGGACAAUGGGCGCAAGCCUGAUCCAGCCAUGCCGCGUGAGUGAAGAAGGCCUUCGGGUUGUAAAGCUCUUUUGUUGGGGAAGAAAAGCUUCUGGUUAAUACCCGGGAGUCCUGACGGUACCCAAAGAAUAAGCACCGGCUAACUUCGU
Molecule: ribosomal RNA, 482 nt
Filed under: uncultured bacterium
Lineage: Bacteria
Description: bacterial SSU rRNA
Rfam family: Bacterial small subunit ribosomal RNA
Source: RNAcentral